Long non-coding RNA from Triticum dicoccoides, 1053 nucleotides. RefSeq lists it as uncharacterized. NCBI's taxonomy places the organism in Eukaryota, Viridiplantae, Streptophyta, Magnoliopsida, Poales, Poaceae. The record is from RefSeq and is a predicted model, not a curated record. The transcript is spliced from 3 exons.
ACCCUAUGCCUCCAUUGAGUUCUUCUAGCUGUUGAGCGUCCAAAGUGGAAUUAGCUAUCAAAAUGGGUUCAAGCUAAACUCUAAUUUAUUUAUUUCUUUGGAUUCAGGUGCACAUGUCAUAGGUGCAGAUGGGCUUGAUCAAGCCGUUAAAUUAAUUUCAUUUACGAACUGAUGUGAAGGCGAUGUUUUUUAGUAGAUAUUUCUUCAACAUAUGAAUGGUGCUUGCUUCUUGCGUCCAAAGAUGAUUCACUAUUUUGUUGCUUCAAAUUAGGCUCGAACCAACCAUACCUACAGUAAACACAUCAUAAUUAGAGCUAAACUAUUUUGUGUUCCAUUGAUUUUCAUAACAUGUUGUUUGGAUUGUUGUUGCUAAUUUCUUUGAAAUUGAUUUUCAUAGCAUGCCGUUUGACACUGUCGGCCUCGCGAACCAACCAUACCUACACAUGCCGUCUGACACCGUCGGCCUCACCGUACUCAGCCAGGUUGCCACAACAAGGCGUCAGGAGUUCCAUAUGAACUGGUUGACUGUGGGUGCGGGCAUGGGUACAUCAGAGAAGGGCUCCACUCUUUCAGAGCUAAGUAUUUUUUUAACUAAAUAAAGAUCCAUGUCUGCACUGUUAUAUAUUUGGUUCAACUCAUAUUACAAGUAUGCAUCUAUCUAUAUAUGUUCCCAAACGAGUGAACCCCUUCCAAUGUCAAGAUUAUGCAUGUCUUUCACAUUGUAGCUUCCCAUUGCCCGUUCGUAUGUGCCUCGAAUGGCUUCACCAUUGCAAAAGGUAUUGUAGUCGUGCACAACAUACUACACCGAAUUCUUUGUAGCUUUGUGGAAUUUUGCUGAAAACUGUUGUUAUUAUUUGAGAAUUGAGAGUGAUGUUAUUUUCUUCCUAUGUUGUAGAGUCCAGAAAAGUUUGGUGAAAGGGAACACUAUCAUGGUCUUUUAUAGAGCUACAGAUCAAUCUUUACGAAUGUUUUUCUGUAGGCAAUUGUUUGCUCUGCUUGAAACUGUGAGACCGGUAUUUUGAUUUGUUGUUUCUUCUUAACUGCAGAUUUGUC